This 405-nucleotide ribosomal RNA is filed under the name uncultured bacterium. RNAcentral describes it as "partial 16S ribosomal RNA". It matches the Rfam family "Bacterial small subunit ribosomal RNA", at positions 30 to 526 of the family's 1533-position model. The record is from RNAcentral.
AUUGAACGCUGGCGGCAGGCUUAACACAUGCAAGUCGAACGAGUGGCGGACGGGUGAGUAAUUCUUGGGAAUCUCGCUUAUGGAGGGGGAUAACUACGGGACACUGUAGCUAAUACCGCGUACCAUAGGAUGAGCCCACGUGGGAUUAGGUAGUUGUUGAGGUAAAGGCUCACCAAGCCGACGAUCUCUAGCUGGUCUGAGAGGAUGACCAGCCACACUGGGACUGAGAAACGGCCCAGACUCCUACGGGAGGCAGCAGUGGGGAAGAUUGCGCAAUGGGGGCAACCUGACGCAGCCAUGACGCGUGAAUGAAGAAGGCCUUCGGGUUGUAAAGUUCUGUCGGUAGCGAGGCGUUAACUACAGAAGAAGCACCGGCUAACUCCGUGCCAGCAGCCGCGGUAAUUC